GCAUCUCUCAGGGAACUCCUUCAAGACUGUUGGAAGACCAUUUCAGAUUUGAGGGAAAGAUUAAAAACAAGGAGGUCUGGGAAUGACUGAAGGGAUCUGACAGCAGUGCGGGAAGGAAGUAAUCACCAGAAUCCUUGGUGAGCAGAAGAGACUUCUCUUGAAAACCAUAAA
This is a long non-coding RNA of Carassius auratus (goldfish), 171 nucleotides long. RefSeq lists it as uncharacterized. NCBI's taxonomy places the organism in Eukaryota, Metazoa, Chordata, Actinopteri, Cypriniformes, Cyprinidae. The transcript has 3 exons. The record is from RefSeq and is a predicted model, not a curated record.